GCGGAAAUUAUCACUUGAACUGAUUCACUCGCUCAAAUAAAAAAGAAAUCAAGAACACAAAAAGCAGAAGAGGAACAAGCAAAGGAAAUUGCUGGGCGAUCUUGUCGCUAGGGUUUUCGCUGUGACAGCACUAUACUAAUGUCUUCGAAACCAGAAUUUAUCGCCAAUUCUCAUCUCUCAGUUGCCACCUUUAGUUUCCUGAGUUCCUUGUGCACAAGCAUUACUGUCUUAUAAUUCGAGAGGGCCGAAAACGGCCUUGUUUGUUCCCCCAGAGAAUAGUGAAAAAUAAAGCAGAGCAAGGUAAAAGUUCUUCUAUAAUGGUACAAGUCAACGGAGAAGGGAGCAUUUCAUUCGAAUGGGGUAAAAAACGAGGACUUGGUGGGAUGAAGAAAGAUGUACAAUUUUAUGAAUCUUUUACAUACGAUGGUGUGGAAUACAAACUUUAUGAUUCUGUUUAUAUGUAUGCGGAGAAGGAGCCUGAGCCUUACAUUGGUAAACUGAUAAAAAUAUGGGAGACCUCUAAUAAGGAAAGGAAAGUGAAAAUUCUGUGGUUCUUUCGCCCCUGUGAGAUUUCAAAUUACAUCGAAGUUGAUAAGACCUUGGAGAAUGAAUUGUUUUUGGCAUCUGGUGAAGGUGUAGGCCUUGCAAAUGUUAAUCCUUUGGAAGCAAUUGCUGGAAAGUGCAACGUUGUAUGCAUUUCAAAGGACAGCAGAAACCCGCCGCCUUCAAAUGAACAACUUCAAAUGGCUGAUUUCAUAUUUUACCUUACAUUUGAUGUUGAGUUUCAUGUGAUCUCAGAUAAGAUUGAUGAUAAAAUUGCUGGAGUUGAUGUUAAGUUUUUACUUAACAGAGUGAAUAAUCAGAAAUCCAUUGCUGAUCCUAAACCUGAUUCAAACAAGAAAGAUCUCAGCGGAAAUGCUGUAGUCAAUGAUGGAGCAGUAGUUUUGUCUGAGGAGAAUGCAUUGGGGGAACAUAAAACUUUAAAGUCGGAUGAAAGGUCACUUAAUGCUUCAGCAAAACAAAGACUACAUUGUAAAGACUUAUCUGCUGACCAUAAGUCUUCGCUUGAACAGAAACUUGCUUCUUCUGGAGGUAAAGAUAUAUUGGAAAUGGUUAAAAGUGACCAUCCCCAGGGUAAUUUAUCUGGUGACAAGAGCAAGUCAAAACUUAAAGAAGAUGCAGAGUUGGUAAAAUCAUCUGUCAAACAGAAAUCAUCUCUUAGAGAGAAGCCUACUUCUGAUAUAGGUGUUCAAUUAGGUGAAGUGGUGAAAAUUAAUGUUCCACGGAAAAAUUCUGCCAGUGAUAAGACCUGUUCAAGAUUUAAUGAUAAAGAAAUUGCAGAUCAGAAACCUUCCUUGGUUAAACAAAAAUCCUCAAUAGCAGAAAAUUGUGCAUCCAAUUUAGGUGUAGGGUUGGGUGAAGUGGCAAAAAGUAAUAGACAGGAAUGCUUGUCCAGUGAGAAGAUUGCUUCAAGGGUUAAGGAUGAUCAUGUCAGGGAUGAAAGUAAAGAAGUUCCUGCAGUCGAGGUUCAAGUUGAAGAGACUGUAAAAGCUGCCAAGGAUUCUGGUACAGGGAAUGAGAGACCAUCUAAGAAAGCAAAACUUGAGGGCUCUGUGAAAGCAUCUGGUGAGAAUAACAAGAAAAUUGACCAAAAAUUAAAUCAUGAUUCCAGUGGCAUUGAUGUCAAUACUGUAGAUCAAACAGCUACUACUCCUGAAGACAAACCCAAACAUAAACUUGUGAUGGAUCUGCAUGGAAAUGAGAAUAUCAUUUCUAAGAAGCCAAAACUUGAUGAGAAGCUCACAAAACCUUCUCAUGGCAAAUUGCCUAAAGCAUCUCCCAGAGAUGUUUCAAAUGAUGCCAGCAAAUCUAAUAAUCAAGCAUUGGAAGUCACUCGAAGACCAGAUGCUGAUAAGAGCAAGUGGUUUACUGUACCUCCAUGGGAACCAUCUAUGAGAACUGCUCAUGCAGAAGGGAAGCUUGUCUUACUUCAGAAUUUGGAUCCAUCUUGCACUGCUGCAGAAGUGGAAGUAAUAUUCAUUCUGGAAUCCUAGUUCUUUAAUAGGUUAAAUUGUAUUGCUAGUAUGGCAGGAUAUUGUUUGGCAUGCUUUCAAGGAAAAUUGCAGGGCAAAGGUGAUUCAACAGACUGCAUUUUCUAGCCCUUACUCUGGUCAAGCUCUUGUUAUAUUCAAAACAAGGGAAGCUACUAGGAUGGUCGUUAGAAAACUCAAUGAAGGUUGCCUAUUGCUAUCAAAUGGGAGGCCUCUGGUCGGCAGCGUUGCAAGUCUUAAUUUCCCUGGAAAGUCAUCAACAUUUUUCGGUCAUAUCUCUAUCGAUAAACUUAGGCUCCAAAUGCAACGGGAGAUGAAAGAAGCUGUAUCUACUUCUCAUUGUUCUCAGCCCAACACAAUUGAGUAUGAUAUGGCCAUGGAUUGGUGCUUAUUACAAGAAAGAACACAGCUAGAGUGGAAACAAUUGUACAAGCAACAAGGGCAGGAGUUGAGAAAACUUAAGGCUACUUUGAAGUCCAAAUGAACUGAAGUUUAUUUGUUUGCUCUUGGAAAUGGUUUCAGAUUGGCCAAAGAACACAAAUACGUAAAUGGAAGCCUGUGAUGGUUCGAUUUUGGCAUUCAACAACGGUAAUGAUUCCUGAAAUGCGCUUCUUCUUGCCGAAAUAGGAAGAAUGCUAACGUACCUGAGGCUGGAGUUCCUUCUAUGGGAUAACCAAGGAAACUCUUCCUGAUGAAAAGGCCUCAACGGAUUAGUUUUAGGGCACUCCCACCUUGAUGUUGCCUUAUAAAUAAUAUAAAUGUAGAAUAUCUUUCUGGUUCAAGUAUAUUCAUCAGGGUGGAAUUUUGUCAUGUCUUAAAUUUCUGAGGUCGACAGCUGUCUAGAUCUUAAAUGCCAUUCUGAAGCAGGAGCCAAAGCAUGGACCUUUGCUUCUUCAUUUGGAGAUGCUGGGUCAUUAAAAAGGUGUACGCAGGUAUGGGCCAAGAGAUGUUGUUCCUACUAGCAGACAAUAUAAAAUUCGUUCUUGUUUGUUCUGAAGCAAAAAAAUUCGCUCCUUUUCGGCCGAAAGUUUGAUGUUUAGGUCUUGUUAGUUGGUCUGUUUAGGCUUUCGCUGUCACCAUUGAACUUGGAUUUUGAAUGUUAACUGGAUAUAGCAAUUUCCUAAAUUAAGCAAAAUUGAAAAUUACUGGACCA
Molecule: RNA transcript, 3204 nt
Organism: Jatropha curcas
Lineage: Eukaryota; Viridiplantae; Streptophyta; Magnoliopsida; Malpighiales; Euphorbiaceae
Gene name: bromo-adjacent homology (BAH) domain-containing protein
Source: RefSeq, a predicted model, not a curated record